UGGGGAAUAUUGCACAAUGGGGGAAACCCUGAUGCAGCGACGCCGCGUGAGCGAAGAAGUAUCUCGGUAUGUAAAGCUCUAUCAGCAGGGAAGAAAAUGACGGUACCUGACUAAGAAGCUCCGGCUAAAUACGUGCCAGCAGCCGCGGUAAUACGUAUGGAGCAAGCGUUAUCCGGAUUUACUGGGUGUAAAGGGAGUGUAGGCGGCUUUGCAAGUCAGAUGUGAAAGCCCGGGGCUCAACCCCGGGACUGCAUUUGAAACUGUGAAGCUGGAGUGUCGGAGAGGUAAGUGGAAUUCCUAGUGUAGCGGUGAAAUGCGUAGAUAUUAGGAAGAACACCAGUGGCGAAGGCGGCUUACUGGACGAUUACUGACGCUGAGGCUCGAAAGCGUGGGGGAGC
Molecule: ribosomal RNA, 398 nt
Filed under: uncultured Lachnospiraceae bacterium
Lineage: Bacteria; Bacillati; Bacillota; Clostridia; Lachnospirales; Lachnospiraceae
Description: bacterial SSU rRNA
Rfam family: Bacterial small subunit ribosomal RNA
Source: RNAcentral